GUAGGUGGCAAGCGUUGUCCGGAAUUAUUGGGCGUAAAGCGCGCGCAGGCGGUUCUUUAAGUCUGAUGUGAAAGCCCACGGCUCAACCGUGGAGGGUCAUUGGAAACUGGAGAACUUGAGUACAGAAGAGGAAAGCGGAAUUCCACGUGUAGCGGUGAAAUGCGUAGAGAUGUGGAGGAACACCAGUGGCGAAGGCGGCUUUCUGGUCUGUAACUGACGCUGAGGCGCGAAAGCGUGGGGAGCAAACAGGGAUUAGAUACCCUGGUAGUCCACGCCGUAGACGAUGAGUGCUAAGUGUUAGGGGGGUUUCCGCCCCCCUUAGUGCUGCAGCUAACGCAUUAAGCACUCCGCCUGGGAGUACGGCCGCAAGGCUG
RNAcentral lists this ribosomal RNA (374 nucleotides) under uncultured organism. Its description in RNAcentral is "partial 16S ribosomal RNA". It matches the Rfam family "Bacterial small subunit ribosomal RNA", at positions 527 to 896 of the family's 1533-position model. The record is from RNAcentral.